CACGUAGGGGGCAAGCGUUGUCCGGAUUUAUUGGGCGUAAAGAGCUCGUAGGCGGUUCGGUAAGUCGGGUGUGAAACCUCCAGGCUCAACCUGGAGAGGCCACCUGAUACUGCUGUGACUCGAGUCCGGUAGGGGAGCGUGGAAUUCCUGGUGUAGCGGUGAAAUGCGCAGAUAUCAGGAGGAACACCAGCGGCGAAGGCGGCGCUCUGGGCCGGAACUGACGCUGAGGCACGAAGGUCAGGGGAGCAAACGGG
This 254-nucleotide ribosomal RNA is filed under the name uncultured bacterium. Its description in RNAcentral is "partial 16S ribosomal RNA". It matches the Rfam family "Bacterial small subunit ribosomal RNA", at positions 524 to 776 of the family's 1533-position model. The record is from RNAcentral.